Molecule: ribosomal RNA, 253 nt
Filed under: uncultured bacterium
Lineage: Bacteria
Description: partial 16S ribosomal RNA
Rfam family: Bacterial small subunit ribosomal RNA
Source: RNAcentral
UACGUAGGGGGCAAGCGCUAUCCGGAUUUACUGGGUGUAAAGGGAGCGUAGACGGCUGUGCAAGCCAGAUGUGAAAGCCCGGGGCUCAACCCCGGGACUGCAUUUGGAACUGUGUAGCUGGAGUGUCGGAGAGGCAGGCGGAAUUCCUAGUGUAGCGGUGAAAUGUGUAGAUAUUAGGAGGAACACCAGUGGCGAAGGCGGCCUGCUGGACGAUGACUGACGUUGAGGCUCGAAAGCGUGGGGAGCAAACAGG